Molecule: ribosomal RNA, 582 nt
Filed under: Triticum aestivum (bread wheat)
Lineage: Eukaryota; Viridiplantae; Streptophyta; Magnoliopsida; Poales; Poaceae
Description: partial small subunit ribosomal RNA
Source: RNAcentral
AUGUUCGAACGAGAUGUCGAAAGGAUGUCACGCCUAAACCGUAUGUAUUAUGGAACCAAAGCUCACUGCAUAAGUGAGUUUAUAUAUGUUCUUGCUGGAUGGGAGGGAUCAACCCAUGAUUCUUAUGUGCUCCAAGAUGCCCUAUCACGUAAAUUUUUUCUAGCGGAUGCGGGAUAUGCUGCAAGACCUGGUAUACUGCCCCCAUAUCGUGCUGUUCGAUAUCACCUAAAGGAAUAUAGGGGAGCUAGAGACGAUGAGAACCCAAGGGAGUUAUUCAACCAUCGUCAUUCCUCACUUAGAACAACUGUUGAAAGAGCAUUUGGUACCUUGAAGAAUCGAUUUAAAAUAUUUGCAAGUCAGCCAUUCUUCCCACUGAAAACACAAGUGAAAAUUGUGUUUGCUUGUUGUGUGCUCCAUAAUUGGAUUUUAGAGGAUGGUCCUGAUGAGUAUGUAUAUGAUGAUGCUACUUGGUACUCGGCCCUUCCACGGAGUAGACGACAUCGUCUGACGUUUACAAAGAGAGUCAGGCAUGGGCAUGCAAAAGGGACGAAUUAUCUCAAAAAAUGUGGGAGGAUAAAUUAG